AACACGGACCAAGGAGUGCAACAUGCGUGCGAGUCUUUGGGUGGCAAACCCAGCGGCGCAAUGAAAGUGAAGGCAGGCGGUGGUCUGCUGAGGCGAGAGUCCUCUCGGGGACACAUCGUCAACCGAUCCCAGGUCACGCUGUGGCGGGAUUUGAGUGAGAGCGUGCCUGUUGCGACCCGAAAGAUGGUGAACUAUGCCUGAAUAGGGUGAAGCCAGAGGAAACUCUGGUGGAAGCUCGUAGCGAUUCUGACGUGCAAAUCGAUCGUCAAAUUUGGGUAUAGGGGCGAAAGACUAAUCGAACCAUCUAGUAGCUGGUUCCCUCCGAAGUUUCCCUCAGGAUAGCUGGAGCCCGGUGCAGUUUUAUCAGGUAAAGCGAAUGAUUAGAGGUCUUGGGGUUGAAACAACCUCAACCUAUUCUCAAACUUUAAAUGGGUAAGAAGCUUGGCUUGCUUAAUUGAAGUCAGGCAUGGAAUGCCGGGGCUCCUAGUGGGCCAUUUUUGGUAAGCAGAACUGGCGAUGUGGGAUGAACCAAAUGCUGGGUUAAGGUGCCCGAAUCAACGCUCAUCAGAUACCAUGAAAGGUGUUGGUUGAUCUAGACAGCAGGACGGUGGCCAUGGAAGUCGGAAUCCGCUAAGGAGUGUGUAACAACUCACCUGCC
This 658-nucleotide ribosomal RNA is filed under the name Terpios cruciatus. RNAcentral describes it as "partial large subunit ribosomal RNA". It matches the Rfam family "Eukaryotic large subunit ribosomal RNA", at positions 658 to 1298 of the family's 3401-position model. Lineage: Eukaryota; Metazoa; Porifera; Demospongiae; Suberitida. The record is from RNAcentral.